AGUCGUGCGUCGUCUGUAGCGAAGAGAAGACACAGGAAACAGACAAAUAAAGAAGGGAGGCAGCGUGACAGAUUUUUGGACUCGUCAAACGCCGAGAGAAUCUUUAAUCUUCACCAUGGCUGCUUUUGAUGAUAUAAAACAGCUGGCUCACCCUUAUCACAUGCUAAAUUUGAUGAUGAGUCUCAGCUUCUUGACGGCUAAAUUUACGCCGGUUUUGUGUGAAAUUCUCUUUCCCGAAGGCGAUUGUGGGGAGCUCACUAUGUGGGAAUCUGAAGUGAUGUUCUUCAUGAUUGUCAUCAUUGCCUUCAGAACCCGCAAGAGUGGGAGCAGGACCAUGCUUGCAUAUAUCUCUGUUGCGUCCACAUAUGCUAAACUCUGCAAUGUUCUCCUGUGGUUCAGUGCUGAUCCUGUGUAUGGCAUUCUGUAUCUUGUGUUUGCCAUCACUCAUUUCCUCCUGGUUGGAGAACCUGUAUAUCAAGGGCCCGAGAAUCUGACUUACUUCCAAGGCAAAGAGUUGGACGAGGAGCUGCAGCGAGACAAGAAUACGGUGUGGCUUAUCACCUUCUACACCGCAUGGAGCCCUGCUUGCUCAAGUCUGGCACCCAUAUUUGCAAAGCUCUCAGCCCAAUAUGCCCUCGACAACCUGAAAUUUGGUAAGAUUGAUGUAGGGCGUUAUCCUGAUGCAGCAAAAAAAUACCACAUCAACGAUUCAGCAUUUUCUCUUCAGCUCCCAACCAUUUCAAUCUUUAAGAAGGGGACUGAAGUUGAAAGACGGCCUUGCUUGGAUGCCAACGCCAAGUUCCAGAAAUUUUACUUCACAGAGGAUAAUAUUAAGGCUUCCUUUGAUCUGAACAAUUUGUACCUCCAGUGUAAGAAGGAUCUAGAGGCAAAGAAAGGGAAGAAGGAAGCUCAUGUUAAAGCAGAGUAAAGCAAAAAGACAAUACAGUGAUAUGUUUGAAGAAGUUGUACAUCAUUUUACCUAAGACAUUUUUUUAAACCAGAUAUGGUAGUUUUCAUAUACCAAGCUUGAUGUAAUGAUGGCAACAAUCAGAUUAUAUAUAUAUAUUUACUAAUCAGUGAUCUACAACUUAUUGAGCAAUCACUGAAUUCUCCCAAAUAUUUGAGUAAAGCAAGGAACUUAUUGUGAAUUAUAUUCCUUCAUAAAAUAAGGUUAUCCCUAACUGUGAAAAAAGGCAAAGGCUUUGAAAAAUAGUAUGUGCAAUUGUUAGUUUUCCAUAUUGUCCCAUUAUAUUCAAGAAUACCAAAGUUCAGUGUAUGAAGUUACAUAUCCUGUAUUGUUCCCAUGUGUCAGAGUUGCAUGAACCAAAAGCUUUUGAAAGGUUGUAUGACUGAAAUUCCACAUAUAAAAAGUUGUUCUCAUUAAAAUCAUUGCUGUGAAGGGAGUAUGCAUUGAGUAUCAUGUAACUGUAGUUGUAAUUCAUUUUCAUGCUCAAAUGUUAGAAGCUUCAGAAGAAAUAGUUUACAGAACCUGUAGUAUUAUGAUGGUUAUUUUUAUUUCUUAGUAUAUUACAUGCUUGUUCAUCACAUACUGGCCAUUUAUCUAAAAUACUAUAUGAUAAAAUAGUCAUCUAAUGCAUACUGGUUAACUAACUGUAAACAUGAAGUGUACUGUACUUACAUCCAUUAGGCAUAUCUUACUGCUGGUUAUUUUAAUAAUUUGCUUGUAAACAGUGCAUUCACAGCUUUGUUGUGAAAUAGCAAGGCAUAUCAUUAUUAUUCACUUUUGCCCAGCAUAUAGCUUGUUAAUCAAAAGGUUUGAGUAUGAUAUAUAUAAAUUUUGAAAAAGACAAGCUAUUUGCCUUUCAUCAGCACAUCUCCAAGUUUUGUUACAAGUUGUAUAUAAGAUUUAUUAAGAUGAUUUUCCAUGUUUGUGCUAAUUUGCAGAUAUGGUUAAUUUAUCACAUAAACUUUUGUAAUAAAGAUUAUUUGUGCCA
This 1955-nucleotide unclassified non-coding RNA is filed under the name Penaeus monodon (black tiger shrimp). Its description in RNAcentral is "thioredoxin-related transmembrane protein 2 homolog, transcript variant X1". Lineage: Eukaryota; Metazoa; Arthropoda; Malacostraca; Decapoda; Penaeidae. The record is from RNAcentral.